This 377-nucleotide ribosomal RNA is filed under the name uncultured bacterium. RNAcentral's name for it is "bacterial SSU rRNA". It matches the Rfam family "Bacterial small subunit ribosomal RNA", at positions 521 to 896 of the family's 1533-position model. The record is from RNAcentral.
UAAUACAGAGGUGGCAAGCGUUGUUCGGAAUCACUGGGCAUAAAGGGCGCGUAGGCGGCGAUGAAAGUCAGGUGUGAAAGCCCUCAGCUUAACUGAGGAAUUGCGCCUGAAACUACAUUGCUGGAGUGUAGGAGGGGAGAGUGGAACUCCUAGUGGAGCGGUGAAAUGCGUAGAGAUUAGGAGGAACGCCGGUGGCGAAAGCGACUCUCUGGCCUAUUACUGACGCUGAUGCGCGAAAGCUAGGGGAGCAAACGGGAUUAGAUACCCCGGUAGUCCUAGCCGUAAACGAUGGGCACUAAGUAGGGGAAUUUCCGAUGAUUUCCCUGCCGGAGCAAAUGUAUUAAGUGCCCCGCCUGGGGAGUAUGGUCGCAAGGCUG